UGGGGAAUAUUGCACAAUGGGCGCAAGCCUGAUGCAGCCAUGCCGCGUGUAUGAAGAAGGCCUUCGGGUUGUAAAGUACUUUCAGCGGGGAGGAAGGUGUUGUGGUUAAUAACCACAGCAAUUGACGUUACCCGCAGAAGAAGCACCGGCUAACUCCGUGCCAGAAGCCGCGGUAAAACGGAGGGUGCAAGCGUUAAUCGGAAUUACUGGGCGUAAAGCGCACGCAGGCGGUCUGUCAAGUCGGAUGUGAAAUCCCCGGGCUCAACCUGGGAACUGCAUCCGAAACUGGCAGGCUUGAGUCUUGUAGAGGGGGGUAGAAUUCCAGGUGUAGCGGUGAAAUGCGUAGAGAUCUGGAGGAAUACCGGUGGCGAAGGCGGCCCCCUGGACAAAGACUGACGCUCAGGUGCGAAAGCGUGGGGAGCAAACA
This 427-nucleotide ribosomal RNA is filed under the name uncultured bacterium. RNAcentral describes it as "partial 16S ribosomal RNA". It matches the Rfam family "Bacterial small subunit ribosomal RNA", at positions 355 to 774 of the family's 1533-position model. The record is from RNAcentral.